RNAcentral lists this long non-coding RNA (2353 nucleotides) under Homo sapiens (human). RNAcentral's name for it is "long independently transcribed non-coding RNA 3104 (LINC03104)". The record is from RNAcentral. Lineage: Eukaryota; Metazoa; Chordata; Mammalia; Primates; Hominidae.
AGAGGAGGGCGUGGCUUCUGGCGUUUGGCGGGUCUUUGUCUCUUGCUGGCGCUGGCACAGGAACUUGGGAUCCGUCUCCUCUUUCGCCUCCUCCGCUUUGGGAGCCCCGGGCUACUCUUUCACAGCCCCUGUUGCCCUGUGAUCUGUAGGUCCUUGGGGACGCACAGUUAAGAUGACAGGACAUCCUGGAAGCUGGGAAAUGAUAUGUAUUCAUUUCCUACCACCGUAGUGGAAGAGAGAUUUUCCCUAUCUUUACAACUGAUAGCAUUUCCAACAGUAAGCUGUGAGAUUCUGCUUGAAAUCACCUCUCAAACAAAUAAAAAACAGACCUGGGAGACAUGCUACACUCAUUCUGCUGAGGAAAUAGGCAUCAUAGCUGGGAAACGGAUUCACAAGACCCAGGCUGUUCCCUACAUAUGUUUCCUCCUCCGACAUCAGUUCAUCAGUCAAUCAAGCCAUGUGAGAGUGGAGGCCUUGUAUUCCCUAUUAUUCUUGGGCACUCUACUCCAAGUAGGAAAAGGCCAGGAGGUCCUGUUAAAGGAUGCACUCAGAGCCCGGGCUCCCUAACAUAUGAGAGUGCUAACCAGCAGGUGUAGACUUUUCAGGAGUGAAGAAUGAGGCAGGCAUUCCAAACCUGGACCUUCAUCACCUUUUGUUUCAUCUCAAGACAAUUCUGAGGGACUGUUUUGGAGCGUGUCUGGAAGGUGAACCUUGAAGAAGAGUGUGGGCUUUGAUGUGACUCAGUUGAGAUCUUUCAUGGGGAGGCAGGAAUUCAAUGCCCAGAAUCUGGGCUGGUGUCUUUGAGGUCAGUAGGUUGCGUCUUUGUAUCCAAGUCCAUUGUUACUAGGUUGGAGGCUGGAGAUUCUAAAUGGCUUCCAGACCAUCUCUCUGAUUCUCUUUGGGAGAUGGGGUCUGAAAGACAAUGUCAGUAGUUUUGGGAAAUUCUAGAAAGUGUGCUUGGAAACGUGGGAAGAGCUCUUGCCUAGUGCCUAAAUGCUCCAUUUGCAGCUCUAGCCAAGUAGAUACUUGGUAGGUAUAGAGCCGGGUUUGCGUUUAUAUCAGCAAAACCUAUGUCAGAGUUGAAGAAGUAGUCAGGAAAAAGCGUCUUGGUCGCAGGCCGGGGAACAUCUUAAAAGCAAACUUCUAGCCUGCUGACUCUUGGCAAUGAGUGUUGGAUCCUGGCUAAAGUGCCUUGAAUGCAGCAUGAGGCCAAUCCAUGAAUCCAACUUCUCAUGGAGAAAUGUUAAUAUUUUUUCAGUUUGAAUCAAUCAGGGUGAAACUACCAUGCUAUUGGUUUGCUUACUUUUUAUUAUUUCAUGUAAAAUCUAAGACAAAAUACAUUAAAUGCUUAUUGACAUAUGUAUUUAUUCUUCACCAGGCUGAUAAUAUCUGCCUAAUUUUAAACUUUCUUCCAUUUUGUAGGUUUCAACUUAUUCUAUUGUAAGAUACUGUUAAAUCUAAUAGAGGCAUUGUCACUUUUACGUAUAAUUUUAUUUUAUUUCAUAUAUUUCCUAUUGGCUUUUUACAUUUAAAUUAUGGAGCACUUCAUCAUAUAAAAAACUUCAAUUAUAUUUAAACAGUAAGUCUUUGGAUUUUUUUGCCUUGUAAUUUCCAUAUUACAUAAUAAUGAGAUAAACAUUAAUGUUUUCAGGGUACUUUAAAUUUUAGAUAAUUACUCAUUGUAUUCAUGUGAAAUUUGUUUUUACUGCAUGUGUGGGUUGGAGGACUGUUUUCACUUCUGAUUCAUCUUUACUCUUAUCUCAUCAGAGCUCAUACCUCUUGUAGUUGGGGGAUUGCAGUUUAUAAUUCCAAUAAAUGGGGCAAAUUCAAUAAUAACAUAAUACAAAUGAGUUUGAAUGCAGGACAGGUCUUCAAAGCAUACACAACAUGGGCCUACAUAUGUACAACAAUAAUAAUUUAUAAGUUACUGUUUGGAUGGAAAGUAAAAGUACAGAAAAUUUGUUAAAGGAAAUUAAAAUGGAGAUCAUGUCUCAAUAAUCUCUGAGCAGACAAAAUUAGUUAGGUCUCAUAAGUGAUCUCAACCUCGCUUGAUUUGCAAAUACAAACAAAACUUAAAUUAUUUCUUGUAGCUGCAUAUUGAAAAAAGAGAAAUGAAGCUCAACCAGUCAGAAGUAGCCAACAACCUUAUAUAAAUAGAAACUGUCCAACAAGGUAAACAGACAAACAAAAAACAAUAAAAAAAGUUGUGCUACCACCAAAUGAUUUCUUUGUUUCUACAUUUUUCAAAUAAAUACUUGCUUCUUACACUGUCAAUGAAGCACUCAAUAUCUUUCCGUCUGAUAUUUUAUAAUUUAUCAAUUGCUCUUACUCAAAUAAACACUUUGCAAUUUCA